CCGAAUGGUCUCCGUGCCUUCGAAACCCUCCAAACCUGUGGACGUCUAGAAACGUGCUUCGGCGCCCUGGCGCCGUGUCCAUGCAGUCGAACGGUCUCUUCUGUCUGAACGUACCAUUUAAAGAAUCA
Molecule: unclassified non-coding RNA, 128 nt
Filed under: uncultured Ascomycota
Lineage: Eukaryota; Fungi; Ascomycota
Description: sequence contains ITS1
Source: RNAcentral